This 573-nucleotide long non-coding RNA is filed under the name Parus major (Great Tit). RNAcentral describes it as "lncRNA (ENSPMJG00000014466.1)". Lineage: Eukaryota; Metazoa; Chordata; Aves; Passeriformes; Paridae. The record is from RNAcentral.
CAAAGCUUCCCAGAACGUUGCUGGGAGCAUCCAGGCUCCAAAUCUGCAUGAAUUUCCACUUCAAACGCUGCACAGAAGCAUCUUUAUCACUCAAACCGCCCGCCCAGCUCCCCCCAGUGAAGGAUUCUCCCAUCCCUCUCCAAAAGCUCUGCUGAAGUUAAAAAAAACAAAGCCCCGAGUGACACAAAACCCAGGCAAACAAAAGGCCCAGAGCUUGGUCCUGGUGGUUCCUGUCUGGAAAUGUCCCAGCUCAGCUUGGUGAGGGUCGGGAGCAAAGCACUGGAGAUCUGAAACUGGAAAUGAGGAGCUCUGACCGCAGCAGAUUCCCACAUUUCAUCCAACUGCAUUCCCAAACCCGGCCCUUCCUGAGAAGGGAAGCAGGGCCGGGAAAAGUCCUUCCAGAGUCACCCAGAGGAGCAGAAUGGACUCGGUGGCGUGGCAGGGCAGAGCUGUCCAGAAGGGUUUGAGAUCUCCUAGAGCAGCUAAAAAAACCAAAGCAAGGCGGAGAGCGUGAGAAGAGCCUGAUGAAAUAUUGAAGAUUUGAAGAUGAUAUCUUUAUUUUCCGUUGGGUUU